Molecule: non-coding RNA, 75 nt
Organism: Ameiurus melas (black bullhead)
Lineage: Eukaryota; Metazoa; Chordata; Actinopteri; Siluriformes; Ictaluridae
Source: the annotation of a GenBank genome assembly
GGCAGAGUUAGCUGAAUGGUUAAAACCUUCCGACUACUGAUCAGAAGGCUGUAAGUUCAAAUCCCAGCACUGCCA